Non-coding RNA from Virgibacillus chiguensis, 73 nucleotides. Lineage: Bacteria; Bacillati; Bacillota; Bacilli; Caryophanales; Bacillaceae. The record is from Rfam.
GGCUCGAUAGCUCAGUCGGUAGAGCAAGGGACUGAAAAUCCCUGUGUCGGCGGUUCGAUUCCGUCUCGAGCCA